CCUACGGGUGGCUGCAGUGGGGAAUAUUGGGCAAUGGGCGCAAGCCUGACCCAGCAACGCCGCGUGAAGGAAGAAGGCUUUCGGGUUGUAAACUUCUUUUCUCAGGGACGAAGCUAGUGAUGGUACCUGAGGAAUAAGCCACGGCUAACUACGUGCCCGCCGCCGCGGUACUACGUAGGUGGCAAGCGUUAUCCGGAUUUACUGGGUGCAAAGGGCGUGUAGGCGGGACAGCAAGUCAGAUGUGAAAACGACGGGCUCAACCUGUGGCCUGCAGUUGAAACUGUAGUUCGUGAGUACUGGAGAGGCAGACGGAAUUCCUAGUGUGGCGGUGAAAUGCGUAGAUAUUAGGAGGAACACCAGUGGCGAAGGCGGUCUGCUGGACAGCAACUGACGCUGAGGCGCGAAAGCGUGGGGAGCAAACAGGAUUAGAUACCCUUGUAGUC
Molecule: ribosomal RNA, 443 nt
Filed under: uncultured bacterium
Lineage: Bacteria
Description: partial 16S ribosomal RNA
Rfam family: Bacterial small subunit ribosomal RNA
Source: RNAcentral